UGCCUAACACAUGCAAGUCGAGCGGGCUGUGGCAAUACAGCUAGCGGCGGACGGGUGAGGAAUACAUAGGAAUUUGCCCUAAAGUGGGGGAUAGCCAGGGGAAACUCUGAGUAAUACCGCAUGAUCUCGUGAGAGCAAAGCAGGGGACCGUAAGGCCUUGCGCUUUUGGAGAAGCCUAUGUCGGAUUAGCUAGUUGGUAGGGUAAUGGCCUACCAAGGCGACGAUCCGUAGCUGGUUUGAGAGAACGAUCAGCCACACUGGAACUGAGACACGGUCCAGACUCCUACGGGAGGCAGCAGUGGGGAAUAUUGGACAAUGGGCGCAAGCCUGAUCCAGCAAUGCCGCGUGUGUGAAGAAGGCCUUCGGGUUGUAAAGCAC
This 378-nucleotide ribosomal RNA is filed under the name uncultured organism. Its description in RNAcentral is "bacterial SSU rRNA". It matches the Rfam family "Bacterial small subunit ribosomal RNA", at positions 45 to 433 of the family's 1533-position model. The record is from RNAcentral.